This 86-nucleotide transfer RNA is filed under the name Candidatus Woesebacteria bacterium RIFOXYA1_FULL_48_16. RNAcentral describes it as "tRNA-Leu". It matches the Rfam family "tRNA". From Rfam's summary of the family: Transfer RNA (tRNA) molecules are approximately 80 nucleotides in length. Their secondary structure includes four short double-helical elements and three loops (D, anti-codon, and T loops). The record is from RNAcentral. Lineage: Bacteria; Candidatus Woeseibacteriota.
GCAGAUGUGGCGGAACGGCAGACGCGCAGGCCUCAGAAGCUUGUGGGCACUAAAUGCUCGUGGAGGUUCAAAUCCUCCCAUCUGCA